This is a long non-coding RNA of Maniola jurtina (meadow brown), 277 nucleotides long. RefSeq lists it as uncharacterized. The record is from RefSeq and is a predicted model, not a curated record. The transcript is spliced from 3 exons. Lineage: Eukaryota; Metazoa; Arthropoda; Insecta; Lepidoptera; Nymphalidae.
CAUGAUACUAAAAUCGUAACGUCUAUAAAUAAGAACUUUUGGCGGUAUUGACGACCAGUUUUUGAGCGUCAGUGUUGAAGCGUUUUGUAAUGCCGGCUCACGGCCAAAAAUCUAUAAACUUCCUAAUAAAGUGAAUAAUCAAAUUCUAAACAAGUAAACGAAAUAAAUCACCACAAAUAACUAAUAUAGUGUUUGGGAGAAAUAAACGCUACUAAAUGGAUUAUGUCUAUCAUUUCAUCGAGGAACCUGACUACGAUUUAACAAAUGAGUCCUCAUU